RNAcentral lists this ribosomal RNA (1343 nucleotides) under uncultured bacterium. RNAcentral's name for it is "16S ribosomal RNA". It matches the Rfam family "Bacterial small subunit ribosomal RNA", at positions 28 to 1378 of the family's 1533-position model. The record is from RNAcentral.
GACGAACGCUGGCGGCGUGCUUAACACAUGCAAGUCGAACGGAAAGGCCCUGCUUUUGUGGGGUGCUCGAGUGGCGAACGGGUGAGUAACACGUGAGUAACCUGCCCUUGACUUUGGGAUAACUUCAGGAAACUGGGGCUAAUACCGGAUAGGGGCUCCUGCUGCAUGGUGGGGGUUGGAAAGUUUCGGCGGUUGGGGAUGGACUCGCGGCUUAUCAGCUUGUUGGUGGGGUAGUGGCUUACCAAGGCUUUGACGGGUAGCCGGCCUGAGAGGGUGACCGGCCACAUUGGGACUGAGAUACGGCCCAGACUCCUACGGGAGGCAGCAGUGGGGAAUAUUGCACAAUGGGCGGAAGCCUGAUGCAGCAACGCCGCGUGCGGGAUGACGGCCUUCGGGUUGUAAACCGCUUUCGCCUGUGACGAAGCGUGAGUGACGGUAAUGGGUAAAGAAGCACCGGCUAACUACGUGCCAGCAGCCGCGGUGAUACGUAGGGUGCGAGCGUUGUCCGGAUUUAUUGGGCGUAAAGGGCUCGUAGGUGGUUGAUCGCGUCGGAAGUGUAAUCUUGGGGCUUAACCCUGAGCGUGCUUUCGAUACGGGUUGACUUGAGGAAGGUAGGGGAGAAUGGAAUUCCUGGUGGAGCGGUGGAAUGCGCAGAUAUCAGGAGGAACACCAGUGGCGAAGGCGGUUCUCUGGGCCUUUCCUGACGCUGAGGAGCGAAAGCGUGGGGAGCGAACAGGCUUAGAUACCCUGGUAGUCCACGCUGUAAACGGUGGGUACUAGGUGUGGGGUCCAUUCCACGGGUUCCGUGCCGUAGCUAACGCUUUAAGUACCCCGCCUGGGGAGUACGGCCGCAAGGCUAAAACUCAAAGGAAUUGACGGGGCCCCGCACAAGCGGCGGAGCAUGCGGAUUAAUUCGAUGCAACGCGUAGAACCUUACCUGGGUUUGACAUGGAUCGGGAGUGCUCAGAGAUGGGUGUGCCUCUUUUGGGGUCGGUUCACAGGUGGUGCAUGGCUGUCGUCAGCUCGUGUCGUGAGAUGUUGGGUUAAGUCCCGCAACGAGCGCAACCCUUGUUCAGUGUUGCCAGCACGUUAUGGUGGGGACUCAGUGGAGACCGCCGGGGUCAACUCGGAGGAAGGUGGGGAUGACGUCAAGUCAUCAUGCCCCUUAUGUCCAGGGCUUCACGCAUGCUACAAUGGCUGGUACAGAGAGUGGCGAGCCUGUGAGGGUGAGCGAAUCUCGGAAAGCCGGUCUCAGUUCGGAUUGGGGUCUGCAACUCGACCUCAUGAAGUCGGAGUCGCUAGUAAUCGCAGAUCAGCAACGCUGCGGUGAAUACGUUCCCGGG